UGCUCCCUUAGGUCAGCGGCGGACGGGUGAGUAACACGUGGGUAACCUGCCUGUAAGACUGGGAUAACUCCGGGAAACCGGGGCUAAUACCGGAUGCUUGAUUGAACCGCAUGGUUCAAUCAUAAAAGGUGGCUUUUAGCUACCACUUACAGAUGGACCCGCGGCGCAUUAGCUAGUUGGUGAGGUAACGGCUCACCAAGGCGACGAUGCGUAGCCGACCUGAGAGGGUGAUCGGCCACACUGGGACUGAGACACGGCCCAGACUCCUACGGGAGGCAGCAGUAGGGAAUCUUCCGCAAUGGACGAAAGUCUGACGGAGCAACGCCGCGUGAGUGAUGAAGGUUUUCGGAUCGUAAAACUCUGUUGUUAGGGAAGAACAAGUACCGUUCGAAUAGGGCGGCACCUUGACGGUACCUAACCAGAAAGCCACGGCUAACUACGUGCCAGCAGCCGCGGUAAUACGUAGGUGGCAAGCGUUGUCCGGAAUUAUUGGGCGUAAAGCGCGCGCAGGCGGUUUCUUAAGUCUGAUGUGAAAGCCCCCGGCUCAACCGGGGAGGGUCAUUGGAAACUGGGGAACUUGAGUGCAGAAGAGGAGAGUGGAAUUCCACGUGUAGCGGUGAAAUGCGUAGAGAUGUGGAGGAACACCAGUGGCGAAGGCGACUCUCUGGUCUGUAACUGACGCUGAGG
Molecule: ribosomal RNA, 687 nt
Filed under: uncultured Bacilli bacterium
Lineage: Bacteria; Bacillati; Bacillota; Bacilli
Description: bacterial SSU rRNA
Rfam family: Bacterial small subunit ribosomal RNA
Source: RNAcentral